CCUACGGGGGGCUGCAGUGAGGAAUAUUGGUCAAUGGACGAGAGUCUGAACCAGCCAAGUAGCGUGAAGGAUGACUGCCCUAUGGGUUGUAAACUUCUUUUAUAUGGGAAUAAAAUGUUCCACGUGUGGGAUUUUGUAUGUACCAUAUGAAUAAGGAUCGGCUAACUCCGUGCCAGCAGCCGCGGUAAUACGGAGGAUCCGAGCGUUAUCCGGAUUUAUUGGGUUUAAGGGGAGCGUAGGUGGAUUGUUAAGUCAGUUGUGAAAGUUUGCGGCUCAACCGUAAAAUUGCAGUUGAAACUGGCAGUCUUGAGUACAGUAGAGGUGGGCGGAAUUCGUGGUGUAGCGGUGAAAUGCUUAGAUAUCACGAAGAACUCCGAUUGCGAAGGCAGUUCACUGGACUGCAACUGACACUGAGGCUCGAAAGUGUGGGUAUCAAACAGGAUUAGAUACCCUUGUAGUC
This 460-nucleotide ribosomal RNA is filed under the name uncultured bacterium. Its description in RNAcentral is "partial 16S ribosomal RNA". It matches the Rfam family "Bacterial small subunit ribosomal RNA", at positions 338 to 795 of the family's 1533-position model. The record is from RNAcentral.